ACAGGUACUGGAGGACCGAACCCACUAAUGUUGAAAAAUUAGGGGAUGAGCUGUGGAUAGGGGUGAAAGGCUAAUCAAACUUGGAGAUAGCUGGUUCUCUCCGAAAACUAUUUAGGUAGUGCCUCGUAUAUCAUUCUCGGGGGUAGAGCACUGUUAUGGCUAGGGGGUACAUACGUACUUACCAAACCAUUGCAAACUCCGAAUACCGAGAAAUGCAAUUACGGGAGACAGACUGCGGGUGCUAACGUCCGUAGUCGAGAGGGAAACAACCCAGACCGACAGCUAAGGUCCCAAAUGACGUGCUAAGUGGUAAACGAAGUGGGAAGGCAUAGACAGCCAGGAGGUUGGCUUAGAAGCAGCCAUCCUUUAAAGAAAGCGUAAUAGCUCACUGGUCGAGUCGUCCUGCGCGGAAAAUGUAACGGGGCUAAGCACGUAACCGAAGCUUCGGAUGCCAUAUUUAUAUGGCAUGGUAGGAGAGCGUUCUGUAGGCCUGUGAAGGUGUGCUGUCAGGCAUGCUGGAGGUAUCAGAAGUGCGAAUGCUGACAUGAGUAGCGAUAAAGGGGGUGAAAAGCCCCCUCGCCGAAAGCCCAAGGUUUCCUGCGCAACGUUCAUCGGCGCAGGGUGAGUCGGCCCCUAAGGUGAGGCAGAGAUGCGUAGCUGAUGGGAAACGGUUUAAUAUUACCGUACCUCGAUACAAUGCGAUGUGGGGACGGAGAAGGUUAGGUCAGCCGGGUGUUGGAUAUCCCGGUUCAAGCGUGUAGUCAGACUUCUUAGGUAAAUCCGGGAGGUUGUUAAUGACGAGGCGUGAUAACGAGUCUACUUGUAGACGAAGUGAUUGAUACCAUGCUUCCAAGAAAAGCCACUAAGCUUCAGUUGUAUCAGACCGUACCGCAAACCAACACAGGUGGGCAGGAUGAGAAUUCUAAGGCGCUUGAGAGAACCCGGGAGAAGGAACUCGGCAAAUUAACACCGUAACUUCGGGAGAAGGUGUGCCUCCGUUAGGUGAAAAAAUUUACUUUUGGAGCUGAAGGGGGUUGCAGAGAAAUGGGGGUGGCGACUGUUUACUAAAAACACAGGACUCUGCUAAGUCGCAAGACGAUGUAUAGGGUCUGACGCCUGCCCGGUGCUGGAAGGUUAAGGGGACUUGUUAUCUGCCUUCGGGUAGAGAAGCUUUGAACCGAAGCCCCAGUAAACGGCGGCCGUAACUAUAACGGUCCUAAGGUAGCGAAAUUCCUUGUCGGGUAAGUUCAGACC
Molecule: ribosomal RNA, 1254 nt
Filed under: marine sediment metagenome
Description: bacterial LSU rRNA
Rfam family: Bacterial large subunit ribosomal RNA
Source: RNAcentral